Molecule: ribosomal RNA, 708 nt
Filed under: uncultured Thelephoraceae
Lineage: Eukaryota; Fungi; Basidiomycota; Agaricomycetes; Thelephorales; Thelephoraceae
Description: eukaryotic LSU rRNA
Rfam family: 5.8S ribosomal RNA (bases 270-424)
Source: RNAcentral
UCUUUGGUCAAUUAGAGGAAGUAAAAGUCGUAACAAGGUUUCCGUAGGUGAACCUGCGGAGGAUCAUUACCGAACUGUCAACAAGAGUUGUUGCUGGUCCCCAUGCAGGGGGCAUGUGCACACUCUGUUUACACAUCCACCCACACCUGUGCACCCUCUGUAGUUCUGUGGCUUGGGGGCUCUGUCCUCUUGCCGUGGCUCUACGUCUUUACACACACACUGUAACAAAGUCUCAUGGAAUGUAUGUCGCGUUCAACGCAAUGAAAUACAACUUUCAGCAACGGAUCUCUUGGCUCUCGCAUCGAUGAAGAACGCAGCGAAAUGCGAUAAGUAAUGUGAAUUGCAGAAUUCAGUGAAUCAUCGAAUCUUUGAACGCACCUUGCGCCCUUUGGCUAUUCUGAAGGGCAUGCCUGUUUGAGUAUCAUGAACACCUCAACUCUCAUGGCUUGCCAUGAUGAGCUUGGACCUUGGAGGUCUUGCUGGCAUGUGCAGGUCAGCUCCUCUCAAAUAAAUCAGCUUGCCAGUGUUUGGUGGCGUCACAGGUGUGAUAAAUAUCUAUGCUUGUGGCUUUCCACCAGGUAACCUUCAGCAAUGGAGGCUCACUGGAGCUCAUAAAUGUCUCUCCUUGGUGAGGACAGAUUUUGACUGUUUGAUCUCAAAUCAGGUAGGACUACCCGCUGAACUUAAGCAUAUCAAUAGCCGGAGGAA